This 253-nucleotide ribosomal RNA is filed under the name uncultured bacterium. RNAcentral describes it as "partial 16S ribosomal RNA". It matches the Rfam family "Bacterial small subunit ribosomal RNA", at positions 524 to 776 of the family's 1533-position model. The record is from RNAcentral.
UACGUAGGGUGCAAGCGUUGUCCGGAAUUAUUGGGCGUAAAGGGCUCGUAGGCGGUCCAUCGCGUCGGGAGUGAAAAGCUGGGGCUUAACCCCAGUCCUGCUUCCGAUACGGGCGGACUGGAGUUCGGCAGGGGAGACUGGAAUUCCUGGUGUAGCGGUGAAAUGCGCAGAUAUCAGGAGGAACACCAAUGGCGAAGGCAGCUCGCUGGGACGUGACUGACGCUGAGACGCGAAAGCGUGGGGAGCAAACAGG